CACCCCAGGGAGUGCCCACAUUUUAGCUUGCUUGUUGCUGGGGAAAAGACUUGCUGCUUUGUGUUUCAUUUGAUGAAGAGCUUCUUUUCAUUUAGUCAGUCACUUAUUUCCAGAGAUUUCCUGGUGAUGUUGCCUCACAUUUAUUUGUGGAAAUGCCAGUAUGUUUUAAGCUUGCAGCUUCCAUAAGUCAGGAUUCCAGUCACAGCUUAGCUGGAUCCUCUCAGAAGGCUACGAUCAAGGUGUCAGCCAGACUGAGUUCUCAUCAGAGGCUCGACUAGGAGAGGAUCUGCUUCCAAGUUCCCUCAGGUUGUUGGAAGGAUUCAUUUUCUUGUGGCUAAGCUCACAGGAGCUUUCUUCUUCAAGGGCAUCAGGAGAGUGGAGAGCGAGUCUACUCAAAGACUUCUAUACAAAUCAUAAGGUAAUCACAUGAGGGACAUACCAUCAUCUUUGCCAUAUUCUGUUGGUUACAAACAAGUCACCAGUUCCACCUGCACUCAAGGGGAGGAGAUUAUACAGGGUGAACAUGGGGGCCAUCCUAGAAUUCUGCCCACUUUACAGUUGAAACAGUAUUUUUUAAAAUGCCAAUGAAAUCCAAGAUAGACAGUUUAUCUUGGAUAAACUUUUAGCACCUUUUGAUUAACAUACCUGUUGGACUUUACAACUGUAAGAUUAGUAAGCACAAGAUUCCCCAGUAUUUCAAGGAUUUAAAGGGAACAUGGUAAAAAGGUACUCUUUGCUAUGCAAAAUCUAGCCAUCUAGCAUUGCUGUGGCCCUGGCCAGUUUGCAGCUCUGGCCAAAAGAGGGCUGCUGAGUCCAGCCCUGUCCACAGUGUAUACGGGCACACCUGACUACAUCAUGCACAGCAAUCCUGUUUGUGGCACCACUGAUGAAUUACCCCUAUUCAAGUGAACAGGCAUUGAGACCCUAAGGGGACCACAGGGUCUGGUUCAUUCACCACAAACACAGUCUUCCUUGAAUGUUAGCAAUGAGUUUAGUCAUCUCAUUAGGAGACUUGAACAGAAGUGAAGGUAAACACUAUUCAUGUCAGAAAAAAAUAUAACGUGGUAGGUAGUAAGAUAUGUAAACAAAGGACUACAGUUCUCUGCCUUUUGAAAGCAUACCUGUGCUACUUGUCUGAAGUAAAAAAAAAAAACAACUGUGCAUUAUUCUGUAUGAAGCAUCUUUUGCAUGUGUUCAUGUGUAUAAACAGGAUUAUGGGUUAUGAUGUAGGAAUUGAGGAUAAACUACAUUUUAUAUUUUUUCAUAUUGUGGAAAGAAGAAAUAAACUAUACUCCUGUGUUAGCUGGAUUCUCUGAGAAGCAGAUGCUGAAAUUGAAUUAGAAGGGCAAAAGGUAUAUUGGGAAGUAACACCUGAGAGGAUGCAGGAUUUGGCAAAGAAUGUUGUGUCUGCACAACUCUACGUGACCCACAAAAGUCAUACAUCUGGCCUUUAAUUUUUUAAAAGAAUCAAGAAGCUCUAUGGUUUUAUAGUAUCUGGCUCUUGUUUAUAAUGAUUAGAACUAUCUCACAGAACCUCAGGGACUUAGGCAAAUUCUCAGAGGUUGUCUAUGCCAACCCUUCAUUGUUAGACAGGGAUGCAUCAAAUCACCCUGAGUGUGGGGAACAUUUCCACCUUUGCGAUGGCCCAGGUAACUGGUUUUACAAAAUCCUUUGUUCAGCUGUUUCACUAAGAGGUUGUAGACAUUGGAGUCUUCCUAACUAAAUCACGUCUACUCCAGAUUAAGAGUAGGAUAGUAUUCUCUGGUGGCUACUUUCUUUUUGCCAGUCCCUCACAUGUUGGGGUUCACUAAUAUCUUCUUCUCUUCUUUCUUAUGAGUCUUCCCAAGAACUCAUUCAGCCCAUAAUGUCAAUAGUGCCAAGGUUGAGAAAUCCUGCUGUAUAGAGACAACUCCCAUUUCACAUCCUCUGCCCAGGUUUCACUCCCAGGCUCCACAUGCCAAGAUGAGGAAUAUUUAAUCUAUAUUCUAAAUAGAGUAAAAAGCAAGGUCAUCAGAUGAAAAGGUGUUGGGAGCAAGACUGGCUUAUUCCAUUAAGCAUAGUAGUCUAAGUGCCUGCUUGGGACCCACAAUAUUUUCAAGGGCCCAUGAAAAAUGUUUUAAUUUUAAUUUCUUUUGAAAUCAGGAGGAAAAAAUGAAUAUUGUAACAAUGAAUACAUAAUAAUAAAUCACACUUGGAUUGUGUUUGUCUUUAUAAAAAAAAAAAAAAA
This 2227-nucleotide long non-coding RNA is filed under the name Homo sapiens (human). Its description in RNAcentral is "long independently transcribed non-coding RNA 1204, transcript variant 2 (LINC01204)". Lineage: Eukaryota; Metazoa; Chordata; Mammalia; Primates; Hominidae. The record is from RNAcentral.